GCAUGGUCAUACCUAACAGAUCUGGAUUCAGCCUAAUUCUUGUCAAGCGACUCCAGUAUCUCUGCACUGCACUCCCCAGAGCUCCACACUAUAUUUGUAUCUCUUCAUUAUAAGAGUUUACAACACAAGAAUUUCCCAUGAGACUGACGUUCUGCGAGACUGUGAUCUGGCUGAUUCUGUUUAAAAAGAAACAAAUAGAAUGGUGAAAGAUUUUGUACUGUCUUUGCUAGUUUAAUGUAGCAGAAAUGUUAGUGAAUAGGAAAAUAAAUCUCAAAUUCAAAGGCACUUACUGCUACUACAUGAUCGAUGCUGUUAUUGUUCAUAAUGUUUCUGGCAAGAAUGGGCUUGAUGUGAUACUACAGGAGGGAUAUAAAUGUUUUCAAAACCCAUGAUACUCCAUCCCUGCAGUGUUCUGAAGAGAACAAGACCCUAUCAUCAGGGUACAGGAUACUGCCCUUGGCUAGAUGGAGUUAAGAACCUCAUCAGAGUCGGAAUAUGUCUCAUGAAGCAGAGAUUUCAUCCAGGACUAGCGCACCAAAGCCUGUAAGAAGUCAUGCUGGAAGAAUGAUAGAUUUUUUUUUUUUCCUCUUUCUUAGUAGUAUUCUGAACUCAGAUGGUUAAGGGAAAAAUAAAUGCACUUUCCUAACAAGUCCGAGAUUUUGGUGUUAAGACACCUGUGGCUCCAGAUAAUUCCUAAUGCUGAUUUCACUCUUGGAGGUUCCAGACUUUCUCUUUUAUUUCAAAAGGUACAUUUUUAAAUCUGCUGUAAAGAAUUUAAACAGUAGCGUGGUGCAAGAGGACAAAAAGCCCACAUGUGAGUUGAAUCCAUGAUCUUCAGAUUAAGUUCUGAUCUGGAAGUAAAUUUUCACAGCCAGGAAGACUGGUGUCAGCCAUAUAUGUGAAGGAGAAAUGAGAGAGAGACAUCCGAUCAGAAGACAGUUGACCAUUCCUGGUUGUCUCCAUUCUCCUUCCUUGAGCAAGCAUUGUACAACCUGUCUCCACCAUGUUUGGCUUUUUCCUCCCUGAUGUCUGUUACCUCUGCUGCACUACAGAUCACUCAAAUCAUGGCAUUACUCAACCAGAGACAGUCCUGAAAGAAGAGCGAGCCCAUGCAGAAAAGCUGUUCACACUCUCCAUUGGAUGUGCUCCCAGCUGAACUGAACUGGAAGGCCUGAUUUCUCUGGAUUUUGAGAAAACAGCUAUCAGAGAAACCCAUGUUUUGAAAUUGAAGUGUAAUGAUCGCCCUCUCAGCUCUAGUAAGCAUCCCCCAGUAGAUAACCCAGUAAGUGAGUCAAGGCCUUAAGAUGGACCGCAAAAGAUGAUGGGGAAGUGCUGGGACUGAUGUCUUCUGCUCUGCGUGUGAGGAUCUGUAUCUUCUAAAGUGACUUUCAAAAGAAGUGUCAAAAACGUAGAUUUGUUAGCAACUUGCCACAUCAUUGGAAAAGACACGUUGUAAUGACAAAGGUUUGUGGGAGGAAAGAAUACUUCAUGGUAUGACAACAAAGGCUCUCAGAAGCCAUGAAGUCUUUGAAUUGCAGGUGCCAUGAGAAGAUAACAUCAGAGAAUCAAGCAGAUUGCUACCACCAUCCAUAAAUAAACUUUGUUUCUGGUGAUCUUUCAAGCUGAAGCACCAUGUGAACCAUUGCUUCAGGCCACAUUUGUUGUGGGAAUAAUCUGUCUAAUCAUAAGCCUAUCCUGGAUGGCAAGGUGAAAUGAAGUACAGAAUGGCAGGCUAAGAAAGCAAACACAGGCAUAAAUGUGGAUUCAAAGAUUAAUGUAUUUAAUGACUAGAUAUCUCAGCUAUCUUGUGUUAUGUGAUCCCAGCUGAACUGGGAUGGAGAGCUAGUUUUUUGAAAAUAAACCAAAAAAAAAUCCCAAAAUCCUGACAAAACUUAUUUUCAGGUCUUCACUUUUGGAGUGAUAUUAGAAAAAUUACACUUACAAAAUGCUCAUAUUAACAUCUGAUUUGUGUCUGGGACUCCAACAGCAGGAAGAAUCUGUUUCUGAGACUGCAGUUUUCUGUGAAUCUUCACAGCGUUUCCAAUAAUCUGCUUUUGAUCUGUUCUUUCCAUCCAUUUCCUUUCAGUGACAAAAUUACAGUAUUUUUCCUCCUCGUACUUUCACUAGAGCAUGAAAGAAAGUAAUAAAAUAUUAGUAUACAUCUC
Tympanuchus pallidicinctus (lesser prairie-chicken) is the source of this 2165-nucleotide long non-coding RNA. RefSeq lists it as uncharacterized. Lineage: Eukaryota; Metazoa; Chordata; Aves; Galliformes; Phasianidae. The transcript is spliced from 2 exons. The record is from RefSeq and is a predicted model, not a curated record.